UGCUAAUACCGCAUGAUGCAGUUGGGUCGCAUGGCUCUGACUGCCAAAGAUUUAUCGCUCUGAGAUGGCCUCGCGUCUGAUUAGCUAGUAGGCGGGGUAACGGCCCACCUAGGCGACGAUCAGUAGCCGGACUGAGAGGUUGACCGGCCACAUUGGGACUGAGACACGGCCCAGACUCCUACGGGAGGCAGCAUG
This 195-nucleotide ribosomal RNA is filed under the name uncultured bacterium. RNAcentral's name for it is "partial 16S ribosomal RNA". It matches the Rfam family "Bacterial small subunit ribosomal RNA", at positions 161 to 353 of the family's 1533-position model. The record is from RNAcentral.